GUCCAACAGCCAUCCAUGACUUUGAGGGUGACCAGACUUACAGUGAAAAGCCAGGCCAUGACUUCACCCUUACAGCAUCUUUUGAAGGUUUGGAUGCUUCGAGCUAUGAUGCACUAGUGAUACCUGGAGGGCGUGCCCCAGAGUACCUUGCAUUAAAUGAUAAAGUUAUCGCAUUGGUGAAGGAGUUUAUGGCUAAUGGAAAGCCAGUUGCAUCCAUUUGCCAUGGACAGUAGAUCUUAUCAGCUGCUGGAGUUCUUAAGGGGACAAAAUGCACGGCAUACCCUGCUGUGAAGCUUAAUGUGGUGCUGGCAGGAGCAACAUGGUUGGAGCCCGAGCCCAUAGAUCGUUGCUUUACCGAUUGCAAUUUAGUGACCGGCGCAGCUUGGCCUGGGCACCCAGAGUUCAUAUCUCAGCUUAUGGCUUUGCUUGGUAUCAAGGUUACAUUCUAAUGCACGAGCCUGUUACUAUAUCUAUCUGUACAAAUGAGACUCGUAUCCCUCUUGUGUGACUUCUAAAAGUAAUGUCCAUGUAUCUACGUAACUCUGCAUGCAGUGAGUGAUCUUGCUUUUCUUCCAGGGAGUUCAGAAUGUAGUUCUAUUCUGUGAAGUAUCAGUUGCCUCUGUCAAGCCUAUCAGUUGCCUCUGUCAAGCCAAUGUCCAUUUAUGCCAAUGUAAUGCCCGUUUUGAUUGUUGUUUC
This is a non-coding RNA of Elaeis guineensis (African oil palm), 696 nucleotides long. Lineage: Eukaryota; Viridiplantae; Streptophyta; Magnoliopsida; Arecales; Arecaceae. The record is from RefSeq and is a predicted model, not a curated record.